CAAUGUCCCAAGGUCAUCGCUCCAAGCCUAUAUGAGAUUGCCAUUAGGAAAAACCGCUCAGUUAGGGACUCCAUGCAUGACGAGCGCUGGCUGAAGGACCUCGCGCACGGGCUCACGGACGGGAUGGUAGAUGAGCUGACCCGACUUGCCUCCCUCCUCGACUUAGUUCAACUGACCGGCAACGCGCUUGAUCAGAUUGUAUGGAGGUUCACAGCAGAUCAAACAUACACUGCUAGGUCGGCAUACCAUAUCCAGUUCAUGGGCUCGGUUCCACCGGAGGCGACCAAGCUGCUCUGGGCAGGCUGGGCGCCGGGCAAAUGUCGUUUCUUUCUAUGGACUGCAACCCUUGGACGCAUACCUAUGACUGACCUGCUCCAAAGGCGUGGAUGGGAUAAUAACUACUUUUGCCCGCUUUGUGAACGCAACCUUGAGACAGCAUACCACUUGCUAGUUGAGUGCCCUUGGUCGCGCGGCGCUUGGGAUACACUGGUUGGGCUUACAAGUAUGCCUUCCAUGCACACUGAUAGUUGGGUGGCCACUACCAACAUCAAGGAAUGGAUGACGUCUUGCUGGAGUAAAGCCGCAUCUGAUAAGAGGAAAGGAGUUCUAUCUUUGAUGCAUCUAGUCUCCUGGGAGAUAUGGCGUGAGCGCAACCGACAGAUUUUCCAGGACUUACGAAUGGACAUGCGCACCUUUGUGCAGCAACUGAAGGACGAAAUCACUAUGUGGAACAUGGCAGGAGCUGGAAUUCCUUUUGACCCGGGUUGA
Molecule: ribosomal RNA, 768 nt
Filed under: Triticum aestivum (bread wheat)
Lineage: Eukaryota; Viridiplantae; Streptophyta; Magnoliopsida; Poales; Poaceae
Description: partial small subunit ribosomal RNA
Source: RNAcentral